This 3125-nucleotide long non-coding RNA is filed under the name Equus asinus (donkey). RNAcentral's name for it is "lncRNA (ENSEASG00005036054.1)". The record is from RNAcentral. Lineage: Eukaryota; Metazoa; Chordata; Mammalia; Perissodactyla; Equidae.
UUCCAUUUGCAGUAGCAUCAAAAAGAGUAAAAUACUUAGGAAUGUAUUUAACCAACCAAGUGGAAAACUUGUACACUGAGAACUACGAAACAUUCUGAAAGAAAGAAGUCCUAAAUAAAUGGAAAGACAUCCUGUGUACAUGGAUUAGAGGAUUUAUUAUUGUUAAGAUGGUAAUAAUCCUCAAAGCAAUCUACAGGUUCAAUGCAAUCCCUAUCAAAAUCCUAAUGUCUCUUUGCAGAAAGGCAAGAUUUAAAAAUUCACAUGGAAUUGCAAAGGAGCGCAAAGAGCCAAACAAUCUUGAAAAAUAGAGCAAAGUUUCAAGGACUCAUGCCUCCUGAUUUAAAAAUUUACCAUAUAGCCAUAGUAAUCAAAACAGUAUGGUACUAGCAUAAAGAUAAAUAUAUACACCAAUGGAAUAGAAUUGAGAGUACAAAAAUAAAUCCAUAUACAUCUGUAGUCAGUUGAUUUUCAGCAGGGGUGCCAAGACCACUCAAUGAGGGAAAGAAUAGUCUCUUCAGCAAAUGGUGCUGAGACAACUGGAUAUUUACUUGCAAAAGAAUGAAUUUGGACCCCUCCCUCACAUCAUAUACAAAAAUUAACUCAAAAUAGAUCAAAGUGCUAAAUGUAAGCUCUAAAACCAUAAAACUUUUCAGAAGAAAACAGUAGUAAAUUUUCAUGACUUUGGAUUUGGCAAUAAAUUUUUAGAUAUGAUACCAAAAGCACAAGGAAUGAAAGAAAAAAUAGGUAAAUUGGACUUCAUCAAAAUUAGAAACUUCUGUGUGUCAAAGGACAGUAUCAAAGUGAAAAGACAACCUACAGAAUGGGAGAAAAUGUUUGCAAAUCAUGUAUCUGAUAAGGGUCUAGUAUCCAGAUAUGUAAAGAACCCUUAAAACUCAACAACAAAAAGACAAAUAACUCAAUUUUAAAAUGGACAAAGGAUUUGAAUAAACGUUUCUCAAAAAAUAUGUACAAAUGGCCAGCAAACAUAUGAAAAAGAUGCUCAACAUCAUUAGUAAUUAUAGAAAUGCAAAUCAACACCGCAAUAAGAUGCCACUUCACACCCACUUGGAUGGCUAUAAUUUUAAAAAAAUGGAAAAUAAGUGUUUGUGAGAAUGGAGAAAUUGCAGCUAUUGUACAUUGCUGGUGGGAAUGAAAAUGAUGCGGCUUCUGUGGAAAGCAGUUUGGCGGUUCCUCAAAAGGUUAAACAUAGAAUUAGCAUAUGACCCAGCAAUUCCAUUCCUAGACAUAUACCCAAAAGAAUUGAAAACAUAUUCAGACAAAUAAUUGUACAUGAAUGCUCAUAGCAGCAUUAUUCACAAUAGCCAAAGGUGGGAACAAUAGAUGAAUGAAGAAAUAGUGGUAUAUCCAUACAACGACAUGUUAUUCAGCCAUACAAAGGAAUCUAGUACUAACACAUGCUCUAAUGUGAAUGAACUUUGAAAACAUCAUGCUAAAUGAAAGAAUCCACACAUAAAAGGUCAUAUAUUGUGAUUCUGUUUAUAUGAAUAUCCAGAACAGUUAAAUUUAUAGAGACAAAAAGCAGAUUGAUGUGUGCCAGGGGCUGGGGGGAGGAAAGAAUGGGAAGUGACUGCUUAACGGGUAUGUGGUCUCCCUCGUGAGUGAUCAAAAUAUCUUGGAACUAGAUUGAGUUCACAACAUUGUGAACAUAAUAAGUGCUACUUCACUGUACAUUUUUAAAUGGUUAAUUUGAUGUUAUGUGAAUUUGAUUUCAAUAAAAAAUAUAUAUAUAUCAGUCACAAAAGACAGUAACCAACACUUAUGUAAUACUUUUUAGGUGCCAAACACUGUUCUGAAUUCUUUACAUAUAUUAACUCAAUUCUCAUAACAAACAUAUACUUAUUACUUACAUACUUAUAUUAUUAGCAACAAACAUAUACUUAUGAACACAUAUUAUUAUCCCUGCUUUACAGAUGAGGAAACUGGGGGACAUAGAAGCUCAAUGACUUACCCGAGGCUCCUCAGCCAAUGGCAGAGGCUGAGACUUGAAUCUGGGUAAUCCAGUUCCAGAAUCCUGCCUCCCCAGCACCGUGCUGAAAGGACAGCGGCUUGAGAUCCCCCUUGACGUGGAAACCGAAGUUUCUGCAUGGCCUGCACACAGCUCCCUGUGGCCUGGAGGGUCACGCACCUGAACUCACUUCUACAAGCUUCUGCACAGCCUGUGUGCAGCCCACCUGUGGCCGAGGGGUCUGCACAGAGCUGCCACUCCUUCUGCAAGUAAAGCAGAUUGCCCGCAAAGAAACAACAGGCAGAUAGACUAGAGCAAAAAUGAAAGAUUUCUCAACAGCAACAAUGGAAACAGAAGAUGGUAGAAUACUGUCUUCAAUGCAUGAAGAAAAAACAGCUAUCACCCUAGAAUUCUGUACCAAGGAAAAUAUCUUUCAAGAAUAAUGAUGAAUGACAAAUUUGGAAAACAUUAUAUUGAACAAAAGUCAAAAAACAGAGUAUGUGAUUCUAGUUGCAUAAUAUUCAAGGAGAGACAAAAUUAAACUAUGGUGAUAGAAACCAGAACAGUGGUUACCUGGGACAGGGGGAAUUUGACUAGAAAGAGGCACAAGGGAACUUUCUAGGCUGAAAUGUUCUGUAUCUUAACGGGAGUAGUGAUCACACAAGUCUGCACCUUUGCCAAAACUAACUGGACUGUGCACUGUGGUGCUUAAUUUCCUGUGUCAACUUGACUGGGCUACAGGAUGCCCAGAUAACGGGUUCACCUAUAUCUGGGUAUGUCUGUGAGGAGGUUUCCAGAAGAAAUCAGUGUUUGAAUUGGUAGACUGAGUAAAUCAGAUUGUCCUCCCUCAUGUGAAUUGGCGUCAUCCAAUCCACCGAGAGCUGAAACAGAACAGAAGGUGGAGGAAUGGAGAAUUCGCUUUCUGCCUGAUCACCUGAGCUCAGACAUGGAAGCUCUUCUUCUAGGGCUGUUCAAGGUACAAAUAUCCUUUAAAAGAUAGUCCAGGACAAAAGUACCCAGUGCCUCUGUCACAAGAUGUUCAGAAAUAGAAGAGACCCGUGGAGAAUUGUCUCCCAGUGUUUAGGAACAAAUUGUAUAUGUGAGUUUUUUUCACUGUAAAUUUAUGAAAUUGAAUACAGAUCAAAAGUUAGUGUUCAAA